GAUGGAGGCAGUAGUGUUCGUUGCCUCACUGCACAAUUGUUGUGCCCUCAUCUCCCUCUCAGUCUGGUUCAGAAUUAUUUCAUCUGAUUUAGAAUAUGAUUACAUUAAUUAGAUUGGAUCAUGUUGCUCAGAAUUAAAUAAGUGGGUAAUUCCAGAAUUGCUUGGCCAUACCAAUGUCACUGUAUUUUGCUUGUUUCACUGCACUGGUUUGUAUUCUCUCUCCACUUACCUGUUGCUACUUGGAAUAUAUAUUGGUUCAUUAUGGUGCCAAGUGGCAACAUGGGGGUGUUUGAGUCAACAGAAAUACAGUUGAGGGCAACUGAAAUGACACAUGAACGAAGCCAUGAUCAAGCUUGGUUUUCACCUGCUCUGUUUCUUCGUGAAUUUUUAUAGUAUGAUUUUAGCUGUGAUAAAUAACUGAAGCCAGAGAAGCUAAAGUUGGAGUUAGGAUAACCUACAGUGAACAGUUAAGGAGCCAGCGACUACUUACAUCAUCCUGAGAACUGUGACCAUAGCAGUAUAUAUUUUUGUAUUUGAACAGAUAGUAUUUUUUGCUAUAUUUUUACCAUAUAAAGUAUUUUAAAAACAACAAAAAA
This 596-nucleotide long non-coding RNA is filed under the name Marmota monax (woodchuck). Lineage: Eukaryota; Metazoa; Chordata; Mammalia; Rodentia; Sciuridae. The record is from RNAcentral.